This 497-nucleotide ribosomal RNA is filed under the name uncultured bacterium. Its description in RNAcentral is "partial 16S ribosomal RNA". It matches the Rfam family "Bacterial small subunit ribosomal RNA", at positions 28 to 507 of the family's 1533-position model. The record is from RNAcentral.
GAUGAACGCUGGCGGCGUGCCUAAUACAUGCAAGUCGAGCGAACGGACGAGAAGCUUGCUUCUCUGAUGUUAGCGGCGGACGGGUGAGUAACACGUGGAUAACCUACCUAUAAGACUGGGAUAACUUCGGGAAACCGGAGCUAAUACCGGAUAAUCUUUUGAACCGCAUGGUUCAAAAGUGAAAGACGGUCUUGCUGUCACUUAUAGAUGGAUCCUCGCUGCAUUAGCUAGUUGGUAAGGUAACGGCUUACCAAGGCAACGAAGCAUAGCCGACCUGAGAGGGUGGGCGGCCACACUGGAACUGAGACACGGUCCAGAGUCCUACGGGAGGCAGCAGUAGGGAAUCUUCCGCAAUGGGCGAAAGCCUGACGGAGCAACGCCGCGUGAGUGAUGAAGGUCUUCGGAUCGUAAAACUCUGUUAUUAGGGAAGAACAUAUGUGUAAGUAACUGUGCACAUCUUGACGGUACCUAAUCAGAAAGCCACGGCUAACUACGUG